GUGGGGAAUAUUGCACAAUGGGGGAAACCCUGAUGCAGCGACGCCGCGUGAGUGAAGAAGUAUUUCGGUACGUAAAGCUCUAUCAGCAAGGAAGAAAAUGACGGUACUUGACUAAGAAGCCCCGGCUAACUACGUGCCAGCAGCCGCGGUAAUACGUAGGGGGCAAGCGUUAUCCGGAUUUACUGGGUGUAAAGGGAGCGUAGACGGUAUGGUAAGUCAGAUGUGAAAGCCAGGGGCUCAACCCCGGGACUGCAUUUGAAACUAUCAGACUAGAGUGCAGGAGAGGUAAGUGGAAUUCCUAGUGUAGCGGUGAAAUGCGUAGAUAUUAGGAGGAACACCAGUGGCGAAGGCGGCUUACUGGACUGUAACUGACGUUGAGGCUCGAAAGCGUGGGGAGCAAACAGGAUUAGAAACCCGAGUAGUCC
RNAcentral lists this ribosomal RNA (425 nucleotides) under uncultured bacterium. RNAcentral describes it as "partial 16S ribosomal RNA". It matches the Rfam family "Bacterial small subunit ribosomal RNA", at positions 354 to 796 of the family's 1533-position model. The record is from RNAcentral.